This 391-nucleotide ribosomal RNA is filed under the name uncultured bacterium. RNAcentral's name for it is "bacterial SSU rRNA". It matches the Rfam family "Bacterial small subunit ribosomal RNA", at positions 30 to 429 of the family's 1533-position model. The record is from RNAcentral.
AUUGAACGCUGGCGGAAUGCCUAACACAUGCAAGUCGAGCGAGGUGUAGCAAUACAUCUAGCGGCGGACGGGUGAGGAACACAUAGGAAUCUACCUUUUAGUGGGGGAUAACCCGGGGAAACGUCGGAUUAAUACCGCAUACGAUCUACGGAUGAAAGUGGGGGACCGGCAAGGCCUCACGCUGUUAGAUGAGCCUAUGUCCGAUUAGCUAGUUGGUAGGGUAAUGGCCUACCAAGGCGACGAUCGGUAGCUGGUUUGUAGAGAACGAUCAGCCACACUGGAACUGAGACACGGUCCAGACUCCUACGGGAGGCAGCAGUGGGGAAUAUUGGACAAUGGGCGCAAGCCUGAUCCAGCAAUUCCGCGUGGGUGAAGAAGGCCUCGGUGUAAG